AGGUGCGAUCAUACCAGUGUUAAUGCACCGGAUCCCAUCAGAACUCCGCAGUUAAGGACGCUUGGGCUAGAGUAGUACUCGAAUGGGUGACCUCCCGGGAAGUCCUAGUGUUGCACCCU
Picea glauca (white spruce) is the source of this 119-nucleotide non-coding RNA. The record is from Rfam. Lineage: Eukaryota; Viridiplantae; Streptophyta; Pinopsida; Pinales; Pinaceae.